UACGGAGGGUGCAAGCGUUAUCCGGAUUCACUGGGUUUAAAGGGUGCGUAGGCGGGCUUGUAAGUCAGUGGUGAAAGCCCGGGGCUCAACUCCGGAACUGCCGUUGAUACUGCAAGCCUUGAGUACAGUUGAGGUGGGCGGAAUACAUCAUGUAGAGGUGAAAUUCUUAGAUAUGAUGUAGAACACCGAUUGCGAAGGCAGCUCACUAAAGUGUAACUGACGCUGAGGCACGAAAGCGUGGGGAUCAAACAGG
RNAcentral lists this unclassified non-coding RNA (253 nucleotides) under uncultured Chitinophagales bacterium. Its description in RNAcentral is "contains 16S-23S intergenic spacer region". It matches the Rfam family "Bacterial small subunit ribosomal RNA", at positions 524 to 776 of the family's 1533-position model. Lineage: Bacteria; Pseudomonadati; Bacteroidota; Chitinophagia; Chitinophagales. The record is from RNAcentral.